UCAGGCCUAACACAUGCAAGUCGAGGGGUAGAAGGAGCUUGCUCCUUUGAGACCGGCGCACGGGUGCGUAACGCGUAUGCAAUCUACCUUUUACAGAGGGAUAGCCCAGAGAAAUUUGGAUUAAUACCUCAUAGUAUAUAUCAUUCGCAUGUUUGGUAUAUUAAAGUUCCAACGGUAAAAGAUGAGCAUGCGUCCCAUUAGUUAGUUGGUAAGGUAACGGCUUACCAAGACGAUGAUGGGUAGGGGUCCUGAGAGGGAGAUCCCCCACACUGGUACUGAGACACGGACCAGACUCCUACGGGAGGCAGCAGUGAGGAAUAUUGGUCAAUGGACGCAAGUCUGAACCAGCCAUGCCGCGUGCAGGAAGACGGUCCUAUGGAUUGUAAACUGCUUUUGUACGGGAAGAAACACUCCUAC
RNAcentral lists this ribosomal RNA (417 nucleotides) under uncultured bacterium. Its description in RNAcentral is "bacterial SSU rRNA". It matches the Rfam family "Bacterial small subunit ribosomal RNA", at positions 42 to 459 of the family's 1533-position model. The record is from RNAcentral.